Molecule: long non-coding RNA, 767 nt
Organism: Ornithodoros turicata
Lineage: Eukaryota; Metazoa; Arthropoda; Arachnida; Ixodida; Argasidae
Exons: 4
Source: RefSeq, a predicted model, not a curated record
ACCCCUUUCCACGAAAUAUCAUUUACUGCAGUUGGGACACAACUGCGGGCAAUAAGACAGCUACGUCUACCCAUCCGUGAGUUGCUGCAAUCGUCGCAUUGAGCGGUUCAUAAAAAGCACGCUAUUUCAAACAUAUUCAACUGCAUGAUUGCGUGUUUUUUGAAAGGACAGACCGCACGUCAAAUUGAGUGAUUUAAUGAACUUUUUUAUAGUAGUGCAUACUGAAACCAUAGUAUACCACAUCCCGUUCUUUGGUGAAGCGAACCUCAACUGUCAAAGCGACAACCUGACGACAAGCCACGUGUGUCUAGCCAUAUUGCGCAGAAAUUAGCACGUGCAGCUCACACGGGCUGGAGCAAAAAAGAAAUCACUCGUCGUCUUCCACUUUGUGCCUACUGGGUGGACAUCUCCAGUUGAAGGAGGGGAACUUCAGCUGAAGGAUAUCAAACGACAAGAAUGGCGUUGCCUUAUCGGUUCCUGACUGCUCUUUUAGUGGUCCUUUCUGGGGAAGCUGCUAGAGUUACAUACAGGACCGUGGAUACAGCUGACGGACAAUGCCUUUACGACGACUACGCGCUCGAUGAUAACGAAGAGUACCAGGCGGAUUCCUGCGAAAUCGUCAAGUGCAAAGCCUCCUCAAAAGUACUGGAAGUUACGACAUGCUACGUCCCGCCCGGAUGUGAACCACAAUAUCGAGGUUGGUAUCCUGACUGCUGCGAGCAAAUGGAAUGCACUGAAGAAUAAACACGCGCUGUAGAAACACAAUA